AUUGAACGCUGGCGGCAGGCCUAACACAUGCAAGUCGAGCGGAUGAAGGGUGCUUGCUCCUGGAUUCAGCGGCGGACGGGUGAGUAAUGCCUAGGAAUCUGCCUGGUAGUGGGGGAUAACGUCCGGAAACGGGCGCUAAUACCGCAUACGUCCUGAGGGAGAAAGUGGGGGUUCUUCGGACCUCACGCUAUCAGAUGAGCCUAGGUCGGCUUAGCUAGUUGGUGGGGUAAAGGCCUACAAAGGCGACGAUCCGUAACUGGUCUGAGAGGAUGAUCAGUCACACUAGAACGGAGACACGGUCCAGACUCCUACGGGAGGCAGCAGUGGGGAAUAGUGGACAAUGGGCGAAAGCCUGAUCCAGCCAUGCCGCGUGUGUGAAGAAGGUCUUCGGAUUGUAAAGCACUCUAAGUUGGGAGGAAGGGCAGUAAGUUAAGACCUUGCUGAUUUGACGUUACCAACAGAAUAAGCACCGGCUAACUUCGUG
Molecule: ribosomal RNA, 484 nt
Filed under: uncultured bacterium
Lineage: Bacteria
Description: partial 16S ribosomal RNA
Rfam family: Bacterial small subunit ribosomal RNA
Source: RNAcentral